Long non-coding RNA from Tachysurus fulvidraco (yellow catfish), 936 nucleotides. RefSeq lists it as uncharacterized. The record is from RefSeq and is a predicted model, not a curated record. Lineage: Eukaryota; Metazoa; Chordata; Actinopteri; Siluriformes; Bagridae. The transcript is spliced from 3 exons.
CUUUCUUAAAAAUAAAUAAAUAAAUAAAAUUAUGCACGUCGGGUGCGGGUAAAAAGUGCUUCGGGUCACUUCGGGUCACUUCGGGUCGGGUACAUUUUUUUAGACCCGAGAAGACCUCUAGUGCCGAGACCUCAAAUCGAACCCAUCCGCUUGGACAGGAGAAUGACAGCAGCCUUGGGUACGUGGCACUUCUGAGCACUUAUUCUCAGGUUUCCUCCAAACUCCCAACAUGCUGGAGGUCAGCUCAGUUACCCCAGGUGAACUUGUGUUUGUAAGUUUCACACAGGCUCAGGAUCCAAGGCACUGAUCAGAAGAAUAGAUGAAGACGGAUGAACGUCAGCGUGCACAAUAGGUUGGUUAUGUAAGCUGCGGGGGAAACGGGAUCAAGGAUAAACAGGCGACUGAUGCAACGUUGGUGCUGCACACUGGCAAACAGUUUGCGCAAUGACUAACAGAGCGGAAGAACUUUCAGCUUCCGGAUAUUAUAUCACUUACAUCAAAUUAAUCCAGGAUGUAUGUGAUGAGCCACGUGAAAUCUCUGCAGAGGGAAGUGUUGCAGGUUUUUAUGUCAUACUUAUCGGCCUCCUCCACUUUGGGUGGCUACUUCAAUCCUCCGUGCUUCCUCGGGGCUUUCUUUGAAACCUGGCGCUGGAUGUGUGGCGUAAUCAACGUACAGCUGAUGACUCAAACAUUAUAAAGAACCCUGCAUGAGUUAUUCACCUAUUUGUUAAUAAGAUAUUCGAAAUUAAGUAGAAGUAGAGCAAUUUAAUAUACUGUAUAAUUAAUAUAUGAGAUCCCAUCCUCGUCACUUUGGGCAAGUCGUGGCCUAAUGGUUAGGGAGUCUGACUCGUAAUCCUAAGGUUGUGGGUUCGAGUCUCGGGCUGGCCACAACUGAGGUGCCCUUGAGCAAGGCACCGAACCCCCCAACUGCUCCCC